ACAAUGAUACUUCCGUAAUUCGCGGCCCGGUCAUAAAGAAGACGGGGUGGUCGAGAGGCCAAUGG
This 65-nucleotide non-coding RNA is filed under the name unclassified sequences. Its description in RNAcentral is "pemK RNA". It matches the Rfam family "pemK RNA". The record is from RNAcentral.